RNAcentral lists this ribosomal RNA (253 nucleotides) under uncultured bacterium. Its description in RNAcentral is "partial 16S ribosomal RNA". It matches the Rfam family "Bacterial small subunit ribosomal RNA", at positions 524 to 776 of the family's 1533-position model. The record is from RNAcentral.
UACGUAGGUGGCAAGCGUUGUCCGGAUUUACUGGGCGUAAAGAGCGCGCAGGCGGUCGUACAAGUCGCGUGUGAAAGCCCCCGGCUCAACUGGGGAGGGUCACGCGAUACUGUUCGACUCGAAGGCAGGAGAGGGAAGUGGAAUUCCCGGUGUAGUGGUGAAAUGCGUAGAUAUCGGGAGGAACACCAGUGGCGAAGGCGGCUUCCUGGACCGACACUGACGCUGAGGCGCGAAAGCUAGGGGAGCAAACGGG